GGUCCAGAUUCCUACGGGAGGCAGCAGUAGGGAUCUUCCGCAAUGGCGAAAGCCUGACGGAGCAACGCCGCGUGAGUGAUGAAGGUCUUAGGAUCGUAAAACUCUGUUGUUAGGGAAGAACAAAUUUGUUAGUAACUGAACAAGUCUUGACGGUACCUAACCAGAAAGCCACGGCUAACUAUGUGCCAGCAGGCGCGGUAAUACGUAGGUGGCAAGCGUUAUCCGGAAUUAUUGGGCGUAAAGCGCGCGUAGGCGGUUUCUUAAGUCUGAUGUGAAAGCCCACGGCUCAACCGUGGAGGGUCAUUGGAAACUGGGGAACUUGAGUGCAGAAGAGGAGAGUGGAAUUCCAUGUGUAGCGGUGAAAUGCGCAGAGAUAUGGAGGAACACCAGUGGCGAAGGCGGCUCUCUGGUCUGUAACUGACGCUGAUGUGCGAAAGCGUGGGGAUCAAACAGGAUUAGAUACCCUGGUAGUCCACGCCGUAAACGAUGAGUGCUAAGUGUUAGGGGGUUUCCGCCCCUUAGUGCUGCAGCUAACGCAUUAAGCACUCCGCCUGGGGAGUACGACCGCAAGGUUGAAACUCAAAGGAAUUGACGGGGACCCGCACAAGCGGUGGAGCAUGUGGUUUAAUUCGAAGCAACGCGAAGAACCUUACCAAAUCUUGACAUCCUUUGAUCGCUCUAGAGAUAGAGUUUUCCCCUUCGGGGGACAAAGUGACAGGUGGUGCAUGGUUGUCGUCAGCUCGUGUCGUGAGAUGUUGGGUUAAGUCCCGCAACGAGCGCAACCCUUAAGCUUAGUUGCCAUCAUUAAGUUGGGCACUCUAGGUUGACUGCCGGUGACAAACCGGAGGAAGGUGGGGAUGACGUCAAAUCAUCAUGCCCCUUAUGAUUUGGGCUACACACGUGCUACAAUGGAUAAUACAAAGGGCAGCGAACCCGCGAGGUCAAGCAAAUCCCAUAAAAUUAUUCUCAGUUCGGAUUGUAGUCUGCAACUCGACUACAUGAAGCUGGAAUCGCUAGUAAUCGUAGAUCAGCAUGCUACGGUGAAUACGUUCCCGGGUCUUGUACACACCGCCCGUCACACCACGAGAGUUUGUAACACCCGAAGCCGGUGGAGUAACCUUUUAUUAGGAGCUAGCCGUCGAAGG
Molecule: ribosomal RNA, 1145 nt
Filed under: Mammaliicoccus lentus
Lineage: Bacteria; Bacillati; Bacillota; Bacilli; Caryophanales; Staphylococcaceae
Description: bacterial SSU rRNA
Rfam family: Bacterial small subunit ribosomal RNA
Source: RNAcentral